Molecule: ribosomal RNA, 1186 nt
Filed under: Glycomyces arizonensis DSM 44726
Lineage: Bacteria; Bacillati; Actinomycetota; Actinomycetes; Glycomycetales; Glycomycetaceae
Description: bacterial LSU rRNA
Rfam family: Bacterial large subunit ribosomal RNA
Source: RNAcentral
GUGGUGCGAAGCGCACGGGAGCGGUGGGGGGUUGCAGAGGCCAGGGAGAAGCGACUGUUUACUAAAAACACAGGUCCAUGCGAAGCCGUGAGGUGAGGUAUAUGGACUGACGCCUGCCCGGUGCUGGAACGUUAAGAGGAUCCAUUAGCCCUUAGGGGUGUCGUGGUGAAUUGAAGCGCCAGUAAACGGCGGUGGUAACUAUAACCAUCCUAAGGUAGCGAAAUUCCUUGUCGGGUAAGUUCCGACCUGCACGAAUGGCGUAACGACUUCUCCGCUGUCUCAACCACAUGCUCGGCGAAAUUGCAGUACGAGUAAAGAUGCUCGUUUCGCGCGGCAGGACGGAAAGACCCCGGGACCUUUACUAUAGCUUGGUAUUGGCGCAUGGUCUGGUUUGUGUAGGAUAGGCGGGAGCCUGGGAAGCUCGCACGCUAGUGUGGGUGGAGGCGUUGGUGAAAUACCGCUCUGGCUUGAUGGUGUGUCUCACCCGCGGCCCUGAUCGGGUCGGGGGACAGUGCCUGGUGGGUAGUUUAACUGGGGCGGUUGCCUCCUAAAUGGUAACGGAGGCGCCCAAUGGUGCCCUCGGGCCGGUUGGAAACCGGUCGGUGAGUGUAAGCGUAGAAGGGUGCUUGACUGUGAGACUGACGGGUCGAGCAGGUGCGAAAGCAGGGGCUAGUGAUCCGGCACCGAUGUACGGAUGUGGUGUCGCUCAACGGAUAAAAGGUACCCCGGGGAUAACAGGCUGAUCUUCCCCAAGAGUCCAUAUCGACGGGAUGGUUUGGCACCUCGAUGUCGGCUCGUCGCAUCCUGGGGCUGGAGUUGGUCCCAAGGGUUGGGCUGUUCGCCCAUUAAAGCGGCACGCGAGCUGGGUUUAGAACGUCGUGAGACAGUUCGGUCCCUAUCCGCCGCGCGCGCAGGAGAUUUGAUGAAGGGCUGUCCCUAGUACGAGAGGACCGGGAUGGACGAACCGCUGGUGUGCCAGUUGUCCCGCCAGGGGCAUGGCUGGUUGGCUACGUUCGGGAGCGAUAACCGCUGAAAGCAUCUAAGCGGGAAGCGUGCUUCGAGAUGAGAUCUCCGUCAGGGGUGAAGCCCUGGUGAGGCGCCCGGGAGAUGACCGGGUUGAUAGGCUCGACAUGGAAGCGGUGCAAGCUGUGGAGUGGACGGGUACUAACCGCCGAGAACUUAACUU